This is a transfer RNA of Cyanothece sp., 73 nucleotides long. It matches the Rfam family "tRNA". From Rfam's summary of the family: Transfer RNA (tRNA) molecules are approximately 80 nucleotides in length. Lineage: Bacteria; Bacillati; Cyanobacteriota; Cyanophyceae; Gomontiellales; Cyanothecaceae. The record is from Rfam.
GGGGAAUUAGCUCAGUUGGUAGAGCGCCUGCUUUGCAAGCAGGAUGUCAGCGGUUCAAGUCCGCUAUUCUCCA